GAUGAACGCUGGCGGCGUGCCUAAUACAUGCCAGUCGAGCGAACAGACGAGGAGCUUGCUCCUCUGACGUUAGCGGCGGACGGGUGAGUAACACGUGGAUAACCUACCUAUAAGACUGGGAUAACUUCGGGAAACCGGAGCUAAUACCGGAUAAUAUAUUGAACCGCAUGGUUCAAUAGUGAAAGACGGUUUUGCUGUCACUUAUAGAUGGAUCCGCGCCGCAUUAGCUAGUUGGUAAGGUAACGGCUUACCAAGGCGACGAUGCGUAGCCGACCUGAGAGGGUGAUCGGCCACACGGGAACUGAGACACGGUCCAGACUCCUACGGGAGGCAGCAGUAGGGAAUCUUCCGCAAUGGGCGAAAGCCUGACGGAGCAACGCCGCGUGAGUGAUGAAGGUCUUCGGAUCGUAAAACUCUGUUAUUAGGGAAGAACAAAUGUGUAAGUAACUAUGCACGUCUUGACGGUACCUAAUCAGAAAGCCACGGCUAACUACGU
Molecule: ribosomal RNA, 496 nt
Filed under: uncultured bacterium
Lineage: Bacteria
Description: partial 16S ribosomal RNA
Rfam family: Bacterial small subunit ribosomal RNA
Source: RNAcentral